CCCUGGUUAGCUCAGUUGGUAGAGCGCUCCACUUUUAACGGAGUUGUCCGGGUUCGAUACCCGAACCAGGCG
Molecule: transfer RNA, 72 nt
Filed under: Ixodes scapularis (black-legged tick)
Lineage: Eukaryota; Metazoa; Arthropoda; Arachnida; Ixodida; Ixodidae
Rfam family: tRNA
About the family: Transfer RNA (tRNA) molecules are approximately 80 nucleotides in length. Their secondary structure includes four short double-helical elements and three loops (D, anti-codon, and T loops).
Source: Rfam by way of RNAcentral